This 347-nucleotide unclassified non-coding RNA is filed under the name Rhizoplaca subdiscrepans. RNAcentral's name for it is "partial 28S-18S ribosomal RNA intergenic spacer". Lineage: Eukaryota; Fungi; Ascomycota; Lecanoromycetes; Lecanorales; Lecanoraceae. The record is from RNAcentral.
AUGGCUAUCAUUAUCCUAAGACAUUCGGGGGUCAACCGAAGCCCGUAGCCGUCCUCGGACGUGACGGGUGGCUGGUAUCCUCCAUCUGAGGGAUGUAUGUCGCAGUGUGGGCAAUCCCCGCGUCUGUGGCGGACCAUCCCUUGGGAAACUCAGUGGGGGCAAUUGGAGGGGUCGUGGACGGCUUCCGGCGGCUUCGGCCCUGGACGUCUCCCGGCCCGGGCGUCGAGUUUCGGCUCGGCCCCGACCUUCUAGCUAACCCUGACCCCGUACCUUCGGGUACGGUCCAGGGAGGCUCGGGCUCCGGUCCGAGCCUCGCGGUGAAGAUAGUUACCUGGUUGAUUCUGCCA